GACGAACGCUGGCGGCGUGCUUAACACAUGCAAGUCGAACGGAAAGGCCCUGCUUUUGUGGGGUGCUCGAGUGGCGAACGGGUGAGUAACACGUGAGUAACCUGCCCUUGACUUUGGGAUAACUUCAGGAAACUGGGGCUAAUACCGGAUAGGAGCUCCUGCUGCAUGGUGGGGGUUGGAAAGUUUCGGCGGUUGGGGAUGGACUCGCGGCUUAUCAGCUUGUUGGUGGGGUAGUGGCUUACCAAGGCUUUGACGGGUAGCCGGCCUGAGAGGGUGACCGGCAACAUUGGGACUGAGAUACGGCCCAGACUCCUACGGGAGGCAGAAGUGGGGAAUAUUGCACAAUGGGCGGAAGCCUGAUGCAGCAACGCCGCGUGCGGGAUGACGGCCUUCGGGUUGUACACCGCUUUCGCCUGUGACGAAGCGUGAGUGACGGUAAUGGGUAAAGAAGCACCGGCUAACUACGUG
RNAcentral lists this ribosomal RNA (468 nucleotides) under uncultured bacterium. Its description in RNAcentral is "partial 16S ribosomal RNA". It matches the Rfam family "Bacterial small subunit ribosomal RNA", at positions 28 to 507 of the family's 1533-position model. The record is from RNAcentral.